This 762-nucleotide long non-coding RNA is filed under the name Homo sapiens (human). RNAcentral's name for it is "long non-coding RNA NONHSAT179063". The record is from RNAcentral. Lineage: Eukaryota; Metazoa; Chordata; Mammalia; Primates; Hominidae.
CUCUGAGGCUCCAGAGAAAUAUACUAAGAAAGUUGUGGCAGAUGGAGGAGGUGGAUGUGGGGCACGGAGGAUAGUCCCCCCUCCCCUAAAUUCAACCACAAUAAUUAUACCUUAUAACAGUUGCUUAUUAACCUUCUGCUUAAGAGUUUGUUUUUUAAUUUCACUUAUUAGAAAACGUUUGAAAAACAUUUAUCUGACUGAUUUCUAACUUCCCUUCCAGCCUUUAAAUCCCAAUUUCCUAAUUGCUUCCUGAGACUAUCCUCAUAACUUGAAGUGAUAUUUAUUUUUGACACAGCAGAAUACGUAUAACCUAUAUUACCUUUGACAGUCUAUUCUGACAAUGUAGCAUUUAUGUUAUACUUUGUCAUAAAGCCUGACAAACUUUCAUUGGUAUUAGUCUUAUCUGUAGAGAUUAUCUAUUAAAAGAGGGAAUGUAUCAUAUGUCAUAGAGUUUGAAAUAGUUCUUGUCAUGUAGGAAGAGUCCUGUAUAAAUGCAUAGGAAUCAUCCAGCACAUAUGUAUUCCACAGGAUAAUAUACCAUCUAACAACCUCUGAUCUUUGUUGCCUGCAUGUUAAAGAUUUCAAGGUUGUAUUUUUCAUCACAUUCAGAGUACAGUGGUUGAAAAUUUGAAACAUUUGAAACGAGAUAUUUCCUAGCCUGAAGAUCUUCAUCACAGAGUUAGAAAAGGCUCCUCUUUGAAAGAAAAGACUUCCUUAUACUCAUCUUCAUCUGGAAUUUCCCCAGUACUCCUUAUUUCUGAC